This 397-nucleotide ribosomal RNA is filed under the name uncultured bacterium. Its description in RNAcentral is "partial 16S ribosomal RNA". It matches the Rfam family "Bacterial small subunit ribosomal RNA", at positions 523 to 918 of the family's 1533-position model. The record is from RNAcentral.
AUACGUAGGGGGCGAGCGUUGUCCGGAAUGAUUGGGCGUAAAGGGCGCGUAGGCGGCCCGGUAAGUCUGGAGUGAAAGUCCUGCUUUUAAGGUGGGAAUUGCUUUGGAUACUGUCGGGCUUGAGUGCAGGAGAGGUAAGUGGAAUUCCCAGUGUAGCGGUGAAACGCGUAGAGAUUGGGAGGAACACCAGUGGCGAAGGCGACUUACUGGACUGUAACUGACGCUGAGGCGCGAAAGUGUGGGGAGCAAACAGGAUUAGAUACCCUGGUAGUCCACACUGUAAACGAUGAAUGCUAGGUGUAGGGGGUAUCGACCCCUUCUGUGCCGCAGUUAACACAAUAAGCAUUCCGCCUGGGGAGUACGGCCGCAAGGUUGAAACUCAAAUGAAUUGACGGGG